GAUGAACGCUGGCGGCGUGCCUAAUACAUGCAAGUCGAGCGGACGGACGCGAAUCUUGCUGCACUCAUGUUAGCGGCGGACGGGUGAGUAACACGUGGAUAACCUACCUCUAAGACUUGGAUAACUUCGGGUAACCGUAGCUAAUACCGGAUGAUAUUUUUAACCUGAUGGUUCAAAAGUGAAAGCCGGUCUUGCUGUCCCUUAUAGCUGGCUGCGCGGUGGUUUGGCUAGGUGGUAAGGUAACGGCUUACCAAGGCAGCGAUGCAUAGCCGACCUGAGAGGGUGAAGGGCCACACUGGAAGUGGGACACGGUCCAGACUCCUACGGGAGGCAGCAGUAGCGACUCUUGGGAGAUGGGCGGAAGCCUGAAGGAGCAACGCCAGGUGGGUGAUGAGAGGCUUCGGGUCGUAAAACGCUGUUAUUGGGGAAGAACAUAUGCGUAAGUAACUGUGCACAUCGUGACGGUACCUAGUCAGAAAGCCACGGCUAACUACGUG
This 497-nucleotide ribosomal RNA is filed under the name uncultured bacterium. RNAcentral's name for it is "partial 16S ribosomal RNA". It matches the Rfam family "Bacterial small subunit ribosomal RNA", at positions 28 to 507 of the family's 1533-position model. The record is from RNAcentral.